Long non-coding RNA from Salvia miltiorrhiza (redroot sage), 760 nucleotides. RefSeq lists it as uncharacterized. The record is from RefSeq and is a predicted model, not a curated record. Lineage: Eukaryota; Viridiplantae; Streptophyta; Magnoliopsida; Lamiales; Lamiaceae. The transcript has 2 exons.
CGUUGGUAGUCAAGUUACCCAAUUUGAGAAGCUCGAUAUUAGCAUAUGGCCCGAGUAUAAAUCACUGUUCCGCCUGGGAUCCACGCACGAGGGUUCCCCUGAUUAACGAUGCUAGGCUGCUACAGUGUUUCUGGAAUAACUUCUUCUUUUUUUUCGCAAAAUUGCCCCCGCAAUUUCAAUUGAAAGGAUUUAUUAUCUCAUUAGGUUUUUCAACCGCUUUAGCAAAAUUUACGCUUGAAAAUGCUCUGAGGAAUUCGGUUAUGAUUUGUGUUUUAGAUGGUUUGCUACAACCGUCAUAAACCUCCAUCCCUGAACAGAAAACGAUGCAACCCACGAAGAAAUUGAGAGUCUCCGUUAACAACCAAAAAUCGAGAUCCAAAAUUCGACGAUCAGAAAUGAGAAAUCGAGCUGCUGCACAUGAAGGACUGGUUUGUUGCGGUUGAACUGAAUGGUUUGCGGCGAUGGCGGUUGAAGUUAAGGUCAACAAAGAGUCGAUCCCCAAUUUUUGGUUUGUGGAGAAUUGAUGGCAAUUGUGGAAUUUUGAUUUUAUGUUCAGUUGGUUUAGAGAGUUGAUUAAAAAAAAUUGUGAAGAAGAUUGAGAGAAAAUUGAUUUGUUAAUUGAUUUCGUGAAAUGGUUUGUGGGGACUUAGAUUGAGAGAAUUGAUUUUCCUGGGAUUGGAAUCGGUAAUUGGAGCCAUUGAAAUGGUUUUCUUGUGAAGACGUGGUUUUUUUUUUUUUUUUUUUUUUUUUUUUGGAGAAA